This 461-nucleotide ribosomal RNA is filed under the name uncultured bacterium. RNAcentral's name for it is "partial 16S ribosomal RNA". It matches the Rfam family "Bacterial small subunit ribosomal RNA", at positions 28 to 506 of the family's 1533-position model. The record is from RNAcentral.
GACGAACGCUGGCGGCGUGCUUAACACAUGCCAGUCGAACGGAAAGGCCCUUCGGGGUCCUCGAGUGGCGAACGGGUGAGUAACACGUGGGUGAUCUGCCCUGCACUUUGGGAUAAGCCUGGGAAACUGGGUCUAAUACCGAAUAGGACCACGCGCUUCAUGGUGUGUGGUGGAAAGCUUUUGCGGUGUGGGAUGGGCCCGCGGCCUAUCAGCUUGUUGGUGGGGUAAUGGCCUACCAAGGCGACGACGGGUAGCCGGCCUGAGAGGGUGACCGGCCACACUGGGACUGAGAUACGGCCCAGACUCCUACGGGAGGCAGCAGUGGGGAAUAUUGCACAAUGGGCGCAAGCCUGAUGCAGCGACGCCGCGUGAGGGAUGACGGCCUUCGGGUUGUAAACCUCUUUCAAUAGGGACGAAGCGCAAGUGACGGUACCUAUAGAAGAAGCACCGGCCAACUACGU